CGGGGAGUAGCGCAGCUUGGUAGCGCGCUUCGUUCGGGUCGAAGAGGACGGAGGUUCGAAUCCUCUCUCCCCGACCA
RNAcentral lists this transfer RNA (77 nucleotides) under Caldilinea sp. RNAcentral describes it as "tRNA-Pro". It matches the Rfam family "tRNA". Rfam says of the family: Transfer RNA (tRNA) molecules are approximately 80 nucleotides in length. Their secondary structure includes four short double-helical elements and three loops (D, anti-codon, and T loops). The record is from RNAcentral. Lineage: Bacteria; Bacillati; Chloroflexota; Caldilineae; Caldilineales; Caldilineaceae.